GGCCCCCUGGCUAUUUUUAGCAUCAGGGCCUUGGAAGCAGGUGUGGUCCAGGCUUGAAGGCCACGCCUGGAAUCUGUUCAAGUCCUGUAGUGCCUGCACAUUGUCUAUUUAGGAGCUGAGGAUAGUGACGGGGCCACUUAGAGACGCUGUUAACAGAAUUUGUGCUUUUCCAGGGAGAGGAGUAAAAAGUCACACUGUGUUUCGUUUGCGAUGCUUAGGUAGGUUUAUCUUGGAAACUAUAAAUUGAAAUACACUUUAAGAGUGUUAGGGAAUAGAUGAUUUUUUUUUUUUUAAAAGCUAGCUGUAAAUACUUUGUAUACAGAAAAAGCCUAUAUUAAAAAGAGUUACACCCCAGCUGACCUCUUUUUUUAAAAAAAGUCCAUGUUUGUAGUCACAAGUGUGUUAUUUAAAAUUUUUUUCACCACCUCCCCCAAACGUUGUUAUUAAAAUAAUCCUUUGUAAGUCCUUUUUUGAGGUAGAAAUUCAGCUUUUACCUUGAAGGUGAACAUCAGUUUCCCUGAUUGAAUUUGUUCCUCUUCUUGCCUCAGAAACCCACACUUUCCUCAACAGUGCUGGGGACGUGAGAGCCACCAGUCAUGGCUCUCUGUGAAUGUCCUGUCCCUUUCCUCCUUUUUCUCCCUGCAGUUUCCAAGGUUAUGGGAAAGGAAGGAUAUGAUAAAUGUUACCUUUACUUAGCCCAGCAAAACCAUGAUGACAGUUUUGAAUAUAUAUGUUCAUGUGUUUGAAUGUAUGUGGGUAUUGGAGGUUCUGCUUUACCUACUGUCUCUGUUUUGAUUUGACUCGCUUUAUAGAUCAAGCUCAUCUUCUGGUUGUCGGUCAUGUUUAUUGUGGUCAUAAUAUCUUUAGUAAUUUAGCUCUUCGUCUGGAAAGUACAGCUUUCAUAAAAGGAAUUUAUGUAGUGCAGUUUUGCUGUUUGGGGGAAGGGUGGGCCAAAUGUGGUGCAUGGAUAUGGAUUAUAAAUUUGUAUGCGUAUUACCACCCCUUUGAAUACAGUUAACUACCUUCCAAAGGCCUCGUGGUAAGUAUUUGAUACACCUUCUGACAAGGAGCAUGUCUUGAACGUAUUUUUCUUUAUUUUAACGUAAAGCUCCUUUGCAUGACUUCCUGAUUGUUUAGAUCUAUUCAAGCAUACGUCUCGUUUAACAUGUCUUUGAUGUUUGACUGCGUUCUAUACCCUAAAGCCAAGCUUCUCUUAGGAGGUACGACACAUUGUAGAGUUGGGAGAAUUGUAUUAAAUUAGCAUUAACAGUACUCUUUCUUAUUGCAGUAUUUCUUUUCAUUCCUUUGUCAAGUGAUGCGUAAUCUAGGAACCACAGCUCCUUCCUUUGUAAGUUUUGAGGAAGAAACUAUACUAAACAUUCUCGGGUGUAUAUAUUAAAAUAUAUGUAAUUGUAGAAACACUUCAGUUGAAAGUUCAAGUACUAAAAAGCUGCAUUUCCACUAGAUAUUACCACAGUUCUGAAGGAAGUCUGAACACUUGCCACAUCUUUUCCUGACAUCUGCCCAGUUGGGCAUCACCUUGGUCAGUAUAUUAAUUGGCCCCAAGCCCUUGACAUAGAGAACUCCAGUCCCCCGGGCAUCCCCGCACCAUUGCUCACCUCCUUCGUGGUCUUUCCUUAACCAUCAGAACAAGACCUCCUCUGACACUCUGUCUAAAACUUUAAUAACCCCCACUUCCACUCUCCGCCUUCCUUCCCUGCUUAAUUUUUGUCUCCAAAGCACAGAUCACCACUUCUCAUACAACAUGCUUUGUUUCUGUUCUUGCUGCUUCUCAUGCGUCUCUCAUCAUAGAAACUCCAGGAGGACAAGAGCUUUUGCAUCCUUCAUUUUUGCCGCAUGUCCACAGCAGUGCUGGCCCUUCUCAGCUGCCGAUGACUGUUUGUUAGUUGACUGAGCGGGUUGCGUAGGCCUUGACAGAUGCUUAGGAAAACCAGGGUGUACCAGACAGUCCCCAUCAAACCUCUGUUCUGAACCUCCCCGCAGCUGCCUCUAGCCCCUCUUUGUUGCAGGUAUCCUUCCAAAAUGCUUUCUCCUCCGCCUCUGGCCACACUUUGUCUCGCCCAGCCCCUCCAUCCCCGGGACCCAGUCCCUCAAGGCCACCUUCCCGAGGAGGUGGAGUCCUUUGUUUUCAGGCAGAGUGCCAGGAGGAGGCCUUCAAUGCAGAGGGCGUUUGGGAGCCCUGGGGCAGGAGUGUGUGUGGGAGGGUUACCUGGUGAGGCAGAAGGGAAGAGGAGGGCAGGGAGUUGGCAGAGGGGGAGAGUCAGGGUGGGUCAGGGAGGGGAAAGCUGGCGAAACAGGUGACGGUACACAGGAGGCUUCCACGGAGCCAGUACCGAGAGCGCACUGCUCUUCCUUAGCAGAGGCACGGGGGGAGGCUUCUGGCUGAUCUGGAUUCCACCUGGGCAGGCCUGUGUGAAGCAAAGGCCUUAUGUUUAGUCUUCGGAGGAUGGCUCCUCUGCCAGCCUUGUGGAUCUUUGAGAUGCAUGCAACCACCCUGAGCCUCUGCUAAGAGCAGGUUCCUUCAGCAGUGCUGUGAGUUCCUGAAGGGUGGUUGGACUUUAUGCUGCUGACAAGUCUUGUCCCCGUGCCUGGUUCUGUCUAGACCCUGAUUUGAGCAGCCUCGGUGCCGUUACUGCCACCACCACCACUGGUCAGGUUGCGUCCUCAGCUUUGGGAUGAGAAAAUGUGGUCAGGGCAUGAGUAGGUGACUGAAAAACACAUCAUCUCGUAUUGUCGUCUUGGCCUUGGGUUUUUGAGUUUUUUGUUUCUCUAUUGAAUAUGUUUUACAAAAUAUCGGACCUCAGAAUUUCUAUCCGGAUCAACCUGCAGCCUGUGAGGCAGAGUUGCUUUAAUCCAAGUAGAAUGAAGAUGGCCAAAGUCCAGGAUGCUCUUGCUUCCAGACGGCGUGGCCUGCAAUCCCCCCUUUUGAUUUGUUCUCUCACUGAAUGUGUGUAACGCUCUGCGGAAAGGCUGUUGGCUGUGUCUUGUCGCCUCUGUUAUGGGAGGAAAAAAAAAUUUAAGACCAGCUCGUAGUUUAAUAAUAGUAAACUUCUCACCUGAUUAUGUCCUUUCUAUAAAUUCUCUGAGAAUCUGAACUCGAGCUCAAGCCGGCCAAACAAGGUUCAGUCCCUCUCCUUUUUGAACCGAGCAGGCACAGCCGUGGGCUCCUUUCCCCCCUCCUGAGAAUGCCCAUGUUGCUGCUCUGGUGCAGGUUUGAUCCCUGGCCUGGGAGCGUCCACAUGCCACAGGUACAACCAAAAAAAGUAAAAUGGAAAUGUGUCUCUCUGGGUGCAGCCCCUGCCUUCUCCUGGGUCCCCCUCUUCAGACCAGCAGAGAAUUCACUGAGCCUGUCUCACCCACCCGUGGGCCCUGAUGGGGGCUAUAGGGCAGCAGUGCAUGGCCUCACCGCUUUCCUGGUGGGAUAGACCCAGUGCAGUAUGAUCCUAGAAGCCAGGAUUGUGUCUGGAAGUUGAAAAAAAAAAA
RNAcentral lists this long non-coding RNA (3504 nucleotides) under Sus scrofa (pig). RNAcentral's name for it is "lncRNA (ENSSSCG00000061652.1)". Lineage: Eukaryota; Metazoa; Chordata; Mammalia; Artiodactyla; Suidae. The record is from RNAcentral.